UACGGAGGAUGCGAGCGUUAUCCGGGUUUAUUGGGUUUAAAGGGUGCGUAGGCGGACUGUCAAGUCAGCGGUAAAAUUGAGAGGCCCAACCUCUUCCCGCCGUUGAAACUGGUGGUCUUGAGUGGAUGAGAAGUACGCGGAAUGCGUGGUGUAGCGGUGAAAUGCAUAGAUAUCACGCAGAACUCCGAUUGCGAAGGCAGCGUACCGGCAUCCAACUGACGCUGAGGCACGAAAGCGUGGGGAUCAAAUAGG
RNAcentral lists this ribosomal RNA (252 nucleotides) under uncultured bacterium. Its description in RNAcentral is "partial 16S ribosomal RNA". It matches the Rfam family "Bacterial small subunit ribosomal RNA", at positions 524 to 776 of the family's 1533-position model. The record is from RNAcentral.